Molecule: small RNA, 501 nt
Filed under: Histoplasma capsulatum var. duboisii H88
Lineage: Eukaryota; Fungi; Ascomycota; Eurotiomycetes; Onygenales; Ajellomycetaceae
Description: Histoplasma capsulatum H88 hypothetical RNA
Source: RNAcentral
CAAUCUUCUCUGAAUUCCUUAUUUAUUAUAUUCACUUUUAAUAAUAAUAUCUCUUAGUGUAUGAACAGUAAUAUUAAAUUUAAGCUCUUGAAGAAUAUCAACAUACGAAGCAAAGGGAUUUUACUGAAUAUCUGAGAGGAUCUUGAAAUGCUCGAAGUAGGCUUUAGUGGUGGAAUCACCACUGAUCAACAACUGAUUUAGAGCUUAAUUAUCCAUGAUGUGAUUAUCCAUAGAAGAGAACAGAUUGAAAAAACACAACAGACUUUCUGCCGAGGUAAUAUAUAGGAAAGCUAAAGAAUAUGUUAGACAAGCAAACAGGACCGUAACAAGAAAAAUAUCCAGCAUCCCCGAUUGUAUGCGGCCUCGGAAGGCGUACCAGUAUAGGGUGGUUCGAUUUAUGCUUUACGUGCGUUAUUGAGAGCUUUGUUCGACCAUGCAGCACCACAGACAGAUAUCGGAGUCACUUUAUCCGGAUGGGGAGAGCCUAAUUGCUUAUGAAGA